This 468-nucleotide ribosomal RNA is filed under the name uncultured bacterium. RNAcentral's name for it is "partial 16S ribosomal RNA". It matches the Rfam family "Bacterial small subunit ribosomal RNA", at positions 28 to 507 of the family's 1533-position model. The record is from RNAcentral.
GACGAACGCUGGCGGCGUGCUUAACACAUGCAAGUCGAACGGAAAGGCCCUGCUUUUGUGGGGUGCUCGAGUGGCGAACGGGUGAGUAACACGUGAGUAACCUGCCCUUGACUUUGGGAUAACUUCAGGAAACUGGGGCUAAUACCGGAUAGGAGCUCCUGCUGCAUGGUGGGGGUUGGAAAGUUUCGGCGGUUGGGGAUGGACUCGCGGCUUAUCAGCUUGUUGGUGGGGUAGUGGCUUACCAAGGCUUUGACGGGUAGCCGGCCUGAGAGGGUGACCGGCAACAUUGGGACUGAGAGACGGCCCAGACUCCUACGGGAGGCAGCAGUGGGGAAUAUUGCACAAUGGGCGGAAGCCUGAUGCAGCAACGCCGCGUGCGGGAUGACGGCCUUCGGGUUGUAAACCGCUUUCGCCUGUGACGAAGCGUGAGUGACGGUAAUGGGUAAAGAAGCACCGGCUAACUACGUG